RNAcentral lists this long non-coding RNA (375 nucleotides) under Brassica napus (rape). RNAcentral's name for it is "long non-coding RNA (BNAP_LNC001563)". The record is from RNAcentral. Lineage: Eukaryota; Viridiplantae; Streptophyta; Magnoliopsida; Brassicales; Brassicaceae.
AGGAGGGAUGAGAAGUAAGAGCAAGGGCAGGAGAGAGGAAGAAGAAGAGGAGGAGGGAGGAAGAAGAAGAAGAAGAGGAGGGAGGAGGUGGAGGGAGAACUGGAGAAGGAAGGAGGUAAAAGAGGAGGAGGGAGCUCCAAAAAAUUAUACUAUUUACGUAAAUAGAAUAAUAUACUACUAUAAAUAUUAGUAACACAUUAUUUUAUAUACGUUUAAUUAAAUGUACUAUUUUAUUUUAAUAAAUAGUAUAGUAUAAUUUUUGUCCGAUAUUGUUUAAAAAUCUGUUUUAAAAAUUUUAAGUUAUGCCAUAUGUAAAAAAAUAUGUAUAUCUUUAGUAACAUAAUAAUUUGGUUGAAUUAUAUUUGCUUUAAAAGA